RNAcentral lists this ribosomal RNA (589 nucleotides) under uncultured bacterium. RNAcentral's name for it is "partial 16S ribosomal RNA". It matches the Rfam family "Bacterial small subunit ribosomal RNA", at positions 355 to 1375 of the family's 1533-position model. The record is from RNAcentral.
UGGGGAAUUUUGGACAAUGGGCGAAAGCCUGAUCCAGCAAUGCCGCGUGUGUGAAGAAGGCCUUCGGGUUGUAAAGCACUUUUGUCCGGAAAGAAAUCCUUGGCUCUAAUACAGUCGGGGGAUGACGGUACCGGAAGAAUAAGCACCGGCUAACUACGUGCCAGCAGCCGCGGUAAUACGUAGGGUGCAAGCGUUAAUCGGAAUUACUGGGCGUAAAGCGUGCGCAGGCGGUUUGCUAAGACCGAUGUGAAAUCCCCGGGCUCAACCUGGGAACUGCAUUGGUGACUAGCAGGCUAGAGUAUGGCAGAGGGGGGUAGAAUUCCACGUGUAGCAGUGAAAUGCGUAGAGAUGUGGAGGAAUACCGAUGGCGAAGGCAGCCCCCUGGGCCAAUACUGACGCUCAUGCACGAAAAGCGUGGGGAGCAAAACAGGAUUAGAUACCCUGGUAGUCCACGCCCUAAAACGAUGUCAACUAGUUGUUGGGGGAUUCAUUUCCUUAGUAACGUAGCUAACGCGUGAAGUUGACCGCCUGGGGAGUACGGUCGCAAGAUUAAAACUUAAAUGAAUUGACGGGGUCAUAGCUGUUUCCU